AGGCGGCGAACGGGUGAGUAACACGUGAGUUACCUGCCCCUGACUCUGGGAUAAGCCUGGGAAACCGGGUCUAAUACCGGAUGUGACCUCCUCCGGCAUCGGAUGGUGGUGGAAAGUUUUUCGGUCAGGGAUGGGCUCGCGGCCUAUCAGCUUGUUGGUGGGGUAGUGGCCUACCAAGGCGACGACGGNUAGCCGGCCUGAGAGGGCGACCGGCCACACUGGGACUGAGACACGGCCCAGACUCCUACGGGAGGCAGCAGUGGGGAAUAUUGCGCAAUGGGCGGAAGCCUGACGCAGCGACGCCGCGUGGGGGAUGACGGCCUUCGGGUUGUAAACCUCUUUCAGCAGGGACGAAGUUGACGUGUACCUGCAGAAGAAGCGCCGGCUAACUACGUGCCAGCAGCCCGCGGUAAUACGUAGGGCGCAAGCGUUGUCCGGAAUUAUUGGGCGUAAAGAGCUCGUAGGUGGCUGGUCGCGUCUGCCGUGAAAGCCCGCAGCUUAACUGCGGGUCUGCGGUGGAUACGGGCCGGCUAGAGGUAGGUAGGGGCAAGUGGAAUUCCU
Molecule: ribosomal RNA, 561 nt
Filed under: Nonomuraea sp. 424D11
Lineage: Bacteria; Bacillati; Actinomycetota; Actinomycetes; Streptosporangiales; Streptosporangiaceae
Description: bacterial SSU rRNA
Rfam family: Bacterial small subunit ribosomal RNA
Source: RNAcentral